UACGUAGGGGGCAAGCGUUAUCCGGAUUUAUUGGGUUUAAAGGGUGCGUAGGCGGGAUGCCAAGUCAGCGGUCAAAUAAGGGGGCUCAACCUGCGUCCGCCGUUGAAACUGGCAAUCUCGAGUUGGAGAGAAGUAUGCGGAAUGCGCGGUGUAGCGGUGAAAUGCAUAGAUAUCGCGCAGAACUCCGAUUGCGAAGGCAGCAUGCCGGCUCCACACUGACGCUGAGGCACGAAAGCGUGGGUAUCGAACAGG
RNAcentral lists this ribosomal RNA (252 nucleotides) under uncultured Bacteroidales bacterium. RNAcentral's name for it is "partial 16S ribosomal RNA". It matches the Rfam family "Bacterial small subunit ribosomal RNA", at positions 524 to 776 of the family's 1533-position model. The record is from RNAcentral. Lineage: Bacteria; Pseudomonadati; Bacteroidota; Bacteroidia; Bacteroidales.